RNAcentral lists this ribosomal RNA (476 nucleotides) under uncultured bacterium. RNAcentral's name for it is "partial 16S ribosomal RNA". It matches the Rfam family "Bacterial small subunit ribosomal RNA", at positions 28 to 523 of the family's 1533-position model. The record is from RNAcentral.
GAUGAACGCUGGCGGCGUGCUUAACACAUGCAAGUCGAGCAAGUGAGUUCUUCGGAACGAUCUAGCGGCGGACGGGUGAGUAACACGUGGGCAACCUGCCUCAUAGAGGGGAAUAGCCUCCCGAAAGGGAGAUUAAUACCGCAUAACAUCGUUGAAGGGCAUCCUUCGAUGAUCAAAGGAGCAAUCCGCUAUGAGAUGGGCCCGCGGCGCAUUAGCUAGUUGGUGAGGUAACGGCUCACCAAGGCGACGAUGCGUAGCCGACCUGAGAGGGUGAUCGGCCACGUUGGGACUGAGACACGGCCCAGACUCCUACGGGAGGCAGCAGUGGGGAAUAUUGCACAAUGGGGGAAACCCUGAUGCAGCAACGCCGCGUGAGUGAUGACGGUCUUCGGAUUGUAAAGCUCUGUCUCUGGGGACGAUAAUGACGGUACCCAAGGAGGAAGUCACGGCUAACUACGUGCCAGCCGCCGCCGUAA